Molecule: ribosomal RNA, 2905 nt
Filed under: Escherichia coli
Lineage: Bacteria; Pseudomonadati; Pseudomonadota; Gammaproteobacteria; Enterobacterales; Enterobacteriaceae
Description: 23S ribosomal RNA
Rfam family: Bacterial large subunit ribosomal RNA
Source: RNAcentral
GGUUAAGCGACUAAGCGUACACGGUGGAUGCCCUGGCAGUCAGAGGCGAUGAAGGACGUGCUAAUCUGCGAUAAGCGUCGGUAAGGUGAUAUGAACCGUUAUAACCGGCGAUUUCCGAAUGGGGAAACCCAGUGUGUUUCGACACACUAUCAUUAACUGAAUCCAUAGGUUAAUGAGGCGAACCGGGGGAACUGAAACAUCUAAGUACCCCGAGGAAAAGAAAUCAACCGAGAUUCCCCCAGUAGCGGCGAGCGAACGGGGAGCAGCCCAGAGCCUGAAUCAGUGUGUGUGUUAGUGGAAGCGUCUGGAAAGGCGCGCGAUACAGGGUGACAGCCCCGUACACAAAAAUGCACAUGCUGUGAGCUCGAUGAGUAGGGCGGGACACGUGGUAUCCUGUCUGAAUAUGGGGGGACCAUCCUCCAAGGCUAAAUACUCCUGACUGACCGAUAGUGAACCAGUACCGUGAGGGAAAGGCGAAAAGAACCCCGGCGAGGGGAGUGAAAAAGAACCUGAAACCGUGUACGUACAAGCAGUGGGAGCACAGAGCAAUCUGUGUGACUGCGUACCUUUUGUAUAAUGGGUCAGCGACUUAUAUUCUGUAGCAAGGUUAACCGAAUAGGGGAGCCGAAGGGAAACCGAGUCUUAACUGGGCGUUAAGUUGCAGGGUAUAGACCCGAAACCCGGUGAUCUAGCCAUGGGCAGGUUGAAGGUUGGGUAACACUAACUGGAGGACCGAACCGACUAAUGUUGAAAAAUUAGCGGAUGACUUGUGGCUGGGGGUGAAAGGCCAAUCAAACCGGGAGAUAGCUGGUUCUCCCCGAAAGCUAUUUAGGUAGCGCCUCGUGAAUUCAUCUCCGGGGGUAGAGCACUGUUUCGGCAAGGGGGUCAUCCCGACUUACCAACCCGAUGCAAACUGCGAAUACCGGAGAAUGUUAUCACGGGAGACACACGGCGGGUGCUAACGUCCGUCGUGAAGAGGGAAACAACCCAGACCGCCAGCUAAGGUCCCAAAGUCAUGGUUAAGUGGGAAACGAUGUGGGAAGGCCCAGACAGCCAGGAUGUUGGCUUAGAAGCAGCCAUCAUUUAAAGAAAGCGUAAUAGCUCACUGGUCGAGUCGGCCUGCGCGGAAGAUGUAACGGGGCUAAACCAUGCACCGAAGCUGCGGCAGCGACACUAUGUGUUGUUGGGUAGGGGAGCGUUCUGUAAGCCUGCGAAGGUGUGCUGUGAGGCAUGCUGGAGGUAUCAGAAGUGCGAAUGCUGACAUAAGUAACGAUAAAGCGGGUGAAAAGCCCGCUCGCCGGAAGACCAAGGGUUCCUGUCCAACGUUAAUCGGGGCAGGGUGAGUCGACCCCUAAGGCGAGGCCGAAAGGCGUAGUCGAUGGGAAACAGGUUAAUAUUCCUGUACUUGGUGUUACUGCGAAGGGGGGACGGAGAAGGCUAUGUUGGCCGGGCGACGGUUGUCCCGGUUUAAGCGUGUAGGCUGGUUUUCCAGGCAAAUCCGGAAAAUCAAGGCUGAGGCGUGAUGACGAGGCACUACGGUGCUGAAGCAACAAAUGCCCUGCUUCCAGGAAAAGCCUCUAAGCAUCAGGUAACAUCAAAUCGUACCCCAAACCGACACAGGUGGUCAGGUAGAGAAUACCAAGGCGCUUGAGAGAACUCGGGUGAAGGAACUAGGCAAAAUGGUGCCGUAACUUCGGGAGAAGGCACGCUGAUAUGUAGGUGAAGCGACUUGCUCGUGGAGCUGAAAUCAGUCGAAGAUACCAGCUGGCUGCAACUGUUUAUUAAAAACACAGCACUGUGCAAACACGAAAGUGGACGUAUACGGUGUGACGCCUGCCCGGUGCCGGAAGGUUAAUUGAUGGGGUCAGCGCAAGCGAAGCUCUUGAUCGAAGCCCCGGUAAACGGCGGCCGUAACUAUAACGGUCCUAAGGUAGCGAAAUUCCUUGUCGGGUAAGUUCCGACCUGCACGAAUGGCGUAAUGAUGGCCAGGCUGUCUCCACCCGAGACUCAGUGAAAUUGAACUCGCUGUGAAGAUGCAGUGUACCCGCGGCAAGACGGAAAGACCCCGUGAACCUUUACUAUAGCUUGACACUGAACAUUGAGCCUUGAUGUGUAGGAUAGGUGGGAGGCUUUGAAGUGUGGACGCCAGUCUGCAUGGAGCCGACCUUGAAAUACCACCCUUUAAUGUUUGAUGUUCUAACGUGGACCCGUAAUCCGGGUUGCGGACAGUGUCUGGUGGGUAGUUUGACUGGGGCGGUCUCCUCCUAAAGAGUAACGGAGGAGCACGAAGGUUGGCUAAUCCUGGUCGGACAUCAGGAGGUUAGUGCAAUGGCAUAAGCCAGCUUGACUGCGAGCGUGACGGCGCGAGCAGGUGCGAAAGCAGGUCAUAGUGAUCCGGUGGUUCUGAAUGGAAGGGCCAUCGCUCAACGGAUAAAAGGUACUCCGGGGAUAACAGGCUGAUACCGCCCAAGAGUUCAUAUCGACGGCGGUGUUUGGCACCUCGAUGUCGGCUCAUCACAUCCUGGGGCUGAAGUAGGUCCCAAGGGUAUGGCUGUUCGCCAUUUAAAGUGGUACGCGAGCUGGGUUUAGAACGUCGUGAGACAGUUCGGUCCCUAUCUGCCGUGGGCGCUGGAGAACUGAGGGGGGCUGCUCCUAGUACGAGAGGACCGGAGUGGACGCAUCACUGGUGUUCGGGUUGUCAUGCCAAUGGCACUGCCCGGUAGCUAAAUGCGGAAGAGAUAAGUGCUGAAAGCAUCUAAGCACGAAACUUGCCCCGAGAUGAGUUCUCCCUGACUCCUUGAGAGUCCUGAAGGAACGUUGAAGACGACGACGUUGAUAGGCCGGGUGUGUAAGCGCAGCGAUGCGUUGAGCUAACCGGUACUAAUGAACCGUGAGGCUUAACCUU